CAAUAGCGUAUAUUAAAGUUGUUGCAGUUAAAAAGCUCGUAGUUGGAUUUCUGGUCGGAAGCUCCUGUCCUCUGAUGAGCGUACACGUGCGUCCUACCAUCCUUCUGUUAACCUUUAAGGCUUUCGCGGCUUUCUAGGGGCUCAGAUAUUUUACCUUGAGAAAAUUAGAGUGUUUCAGGCAGGCUAGCGCCGGAAUACAUUAGCAUGGAAUAAUGGAAUAGGACUUUUGCCUCUUCUGUUGGUCAUGAGGCUCGAGUAAUGAUUAAUAGGGAUAGUUGGGGGCAUUAGUACUUAACUGUCAGAGGUGAAAUUCUCGGAUUUGUUAAAGACUAACUUAUGCGAAAGCAUUUGCCAAGGAUGUUUUCAUUAA
This 370-nucleotide ribosomal RNA is filed under the name uncultured eukaryote. RNAcentral describes it as "partial 18S ribosomal RNA". It matches the Rfam family "Eukaryotic small subunit ribosomal RNA", at positions 592 to 976 of the family's 1831-position model. The record is from RNAcentral.